AACGAACGCUGGCGGCAUCCCUAACACAUGCAAGUCGAACGAGACCUUCGGGUCUAGUGGCGCACGGGUGCGUAACGCGUGGGAACCUGCCCUUAGGUUCGGAAUAACUCCCCGAAAGGGGUGCUAAUACCGGAUAAUGUCUUCGGACCAAAGAUUUAUCGCCUUUGGAUGGGCCCGCGUUGGAUUAGCUAGUUGGUAGGGUAAAAGCCUACCAAGGCGACGAUCCAUAGCUGGUCUGAGAGGAUGAUCAGCCACACUGGGACUGAGACACGGCCCAGACUCCUACGGGAGGCAGCAGUGGGGAAUAUUGGACAAUGGGCGAAAGCCUGAUCCAGCAAUGCCGCGUGAGUGAUGAAGGCCUUAGGGUUGUAAAGCUCUUUUACCCGGGAUGAUAAUGACAGUACCGGGAGAAUAAGCUCCGGCUAACUCCGUG
RNAcentral lists this ribosomal RNA (433 nucleotides) under uncultured bacterium. RNAcentral describes it as "partial 16S ribosomal RNA". It matches the Rfam family "Bacterial small subunit ribosomal RNA", at positions 29 to 507 of the family's 1533-position model. The record is from RNAcentral.